Molecule: long non-coding RNA, 2878 nt
Organism: Chenopodium quinoa (quinoa)
Lineage: Eukaryota; Viridiplantae; Streptophyta; Magnoliopsida; Caryophyllales; Amaranthaceae
Exons: 3
Source: RefSeq, a predicted model, not a curated record
CUAUAGUCUUUUUUUUCUAAUUACUGGUAUUUAAUUUUUCAGUUUAAUGUAUGUUCUCCCUCAUUUUCUGUAUUUAUUGAAUCUCUCAGCCGCUGCCGCAACCAUCGCCGGCCAAAAAUUCUUUUUCCCCUUCCUUUUCUCACUCCUCUAGCUUGGUAUUCUAGAGUUUUGUGAGAUUUUACUUCUGCAAUUCUCACUUUUUCUCUCCUCCAGCUUGGUAUUCCAGGGCUUGACAAAAUUUUGUGAUUUUAUUUCGAAAAAUUCGUCUUUAUUUAUGAAAUUCGGGCUUGAUUUUCAGCGAGAUCAAUGAAAUUUUCUCAUCGCUUCAAUAAAUUAAAGAAAUGUUGCAAAAGACAGUCAAAAUAAUAAAGAAGAAACGAUUUCUAGGCUUUCCUCAAAAUUCCAUGCAAAUUGGUGAAAUUGGCGAUUCGUAGAAGGAUUAAUAAUGAAUGCAUUAGUUGCAAGCCCAUGGAAGAGGUAGAAGACCCCCAAAUUAAAGACAAUGAAGUUUUGAUCAAAAUUGAAGCAAUUACGCUUAAACGUGCAAAUAUCAUUUAGAGGAAGGACUCUUUGGAACUAUCCUGGUCUACAAUGUUCUGGAACUAUCCUUCAAUUUGGCAACAAUGUCACUCGCUAGAGAGUUGGUGAUUAGGUUACAAAUUUUACCUUUUCUGCUUUAAUUUUCCAAUUAUUUGCUAUUGCUUGAAGUUUUGUGAUUUGGGUUUUCAUAAUUUUUAAUAAAAGUUAUAAUAUUGACAAUAUUUUAUUUGUAGGGUGUGAUUAACUAGUAGUUUUGUUCUGUCUGCGAUUAAAUUGAUUGAUUUAUCAUAUGUUAGUUUGUGCAUUUUCUCUUUGCAGUUGAUAUGGUUUAUUUCUAAAUAGAAAAUGAUAAAUGUUGGUUCAACAUGUUGUUGAUUGAUGGUAGUGGAGGUAAGCUAAAUAUUGUUAUAUAAGCUGGUUGUCUGAUUGAUGCAGUAGAAUGACUAGUAAUGCUAAAGAUGAAAUGCAUGUAGAGCUGGCCAAAAUUGCCUUUGACAGAUUUGAUUUUACCAUCUAAAGUUUCUUGUAUCACAUUUUGAACCAUGUAGAUCCUAAAGGGAAAUUAUCAUGACUAGAUAUGCAUUUAAUGUUAAUAUUUAUACAACAUGGGUCUUAAUUAAUUCAUUAUUACUUAUCGUUAUUCAUUAAAUAAAAAAGAAAUAUAUCUCAUGAAACUAACAAAAAAGAUUGUGUGGGCAUAUUUGAAUUGCUAUGUAUCAAAAAUUACAAAAUUACUUUUAGUGCAAUCGUAACAUAAUUUGAAUGUGGCUAUAUCCUCUUAAUCUAGUAUGGUAGUUCAUUUUAUACACAAAUCUAUAAUUCCUUAUUUCUGUAUAAUUGCACUUUACUAGUUCAAAAAUUUGGUAUGAAGUGUACGUUUAGUUUAUCUAUUGUCAGUGUUCUAAUUUAGAAUUUUAGAGUAAGUAUGGCGUUUGAGUUAUACUUGUUAUGAUUUUUUUGAAGGUACAAUUCUCUUUUGGUAGAGAAUGAGUCAUACGUACAUACUUUUUUCUUAAAGUAUUGGGCAGAUUUCCGUAAUCUGAUCUUGUUGCAGCUAGAGUUACCAAUUAGUUAUUGAUUUAAUACUCUACAAUUGUUAGCUUCUACAUAAUGAAUUUACAAAUAUACAUAGUUUCAUGAGCUAAUAUAAAUUAGAUCAUUAUCAUCCAAAUAUAUCAAAAGUCAAAAUCACAAAGCAAUACUGAAGGAAUUUUGGAAUUAAGAUAGUGUGAUUAACAAAAUGUGAACCACGAGGCUCACUACUUGCAAAUUUUAAUUGUGAAAUAAUUAGUGCAAAGAAUUUUGAUUUCUAACAUUUGUGAGUCAAGUUGGUGGUAGUAGGCCUAGUAGCCUUUUUAGCGUUUUAUCUGUGUACUUCUAAUUUAUAAGGGAAGGCAAAAGGAAGCUUCUAUACGAUCAACUGUCAAGGGCCUUGAGAUAGUUUGUUGUGACUUGUGAGACUAGAGGAGCCUACCAAAUUUUGUUGAUCAAUUUGACUAGUACACUUUUCUUUUUAGUCUACAUUUGAUUUUUUUUAUAUAUAUCAUUCUCUUUUGUAUUGUAAGAUUUUGUGAGUGCCCCGUUCUUUUUAGUCGAUUAGAAGUUCUAAACAUAUCAGUAAACCAUCUGCUUGUGGAACUUACCUAUCCACCAUAUUGGAUAACUGCAAAGGUGAAAAUUUUCUUUUUUAUAUGUUCUAAUAUUGCUUUCGUAAUUCCAUGAAUCAAUAAUCAAAUCAAUUCUCUUAGUCUUACUAUGCAGGACUUUAAAGUCUGAAUAUUGAACGAUGUUCGAUCACGUACGAAACAAUUCAAAUAGUUGCUAAUUUGUUGGAUUUUGGUUAUGUACUGUCUCAGAUCUCUUAGUGGGUAAAUAACUUGGUCAAUAUGUUAUUUUUGAUACUUUUUCAUCCUUUAAUUGAGCUUCUAACAUAAAUCUCUUUUUUUUUGGCAGGACAUAACAGCCCUAUAUUCAUUAACUCUUUAUCCAACUGACUAUCAAAUCUUGGGAAGCUAUAAAGAGGAUAUACUCCCACCCCAACAGACAAUACUCACAAAAAGGGAGGCAGCAGCGGAAGGAGGAUGUGAAUGAUCGUGUUUAUGCAUUGUUUAAGCAUUGUAGUUGUAUUUUAUUUUAAUGAAAUUGUAAUAAUUUUUUAUUUUGACACAAUGAAAUUGUAAUAUUACAAGAAUUUAUUUAUAAUAAAAUCUAAGUUUAUUUAUAUACAUUGGUUUGUUUAUCAAUUUUAGUGAAAAAAAGCAAAAAAGUUAUUAUUUUUUUUUUUUUUUUUUGGCAUAAAGGGCACUGACCUAUCUAAAAAACAAACCGGUGCAUAUAA